This 344-nucleotide long non-coding RNA is filed under the name Pan troglodytes (chimpanzee). RNAcentral describes it as "lncRNA (ENSPTRG00000053768.1)". Lineage: Eukaryota; Metazoa; Chordata; Mammalia; Primates; Hominidae. The record is from RNAcentral.
AGAAUGUCAAUAUUGUUGUGGAAGAAGAAAAAGCAGUGUCUUACUAAAGAAUAUCGAUUUUUUUCAAAAAACUAGGAAAAAGAACAUGAUGAAAACUAGACACUGACAGGAUUGUAUGAGUCUUUAUAAACCUCAUAAGAAGCACAGGCAAAAAUGAACAUUUUGUUUUGAAGCUGUCAUCAUCAAGGAAAAUGUUAGAACUCUUUUACCCUACUAUGGCUUCAAGAUGAUCACCUACUGAAGAUAAGAAGUCUGCCCAUAGAUCGUCUUACCAUUUCAACUCUACUGCCACGUUUUUCAACUAUGUCACUGCAUGUUGAAUUCUUUCAACCUCAAAAAAAUAA